CAUCGCCUCUUCCUCUUCCGAGCCCGGCGGCUCCUCCGGUGAUGUAAUCCCUCCCAUGGCGAUUACUCGUGACGCCUCGACCACUACACUUGCAGGUGCGCAUCACGCGACGAAUUGAAUGGUCCAGAAACUGUUCGACAACGGCACCGGUCUCGCCUUCAUCACGCAAAUCAUCCGCCGAGGCAUCAUCUACAUCAACACCUCCGAUGUCCACUGCCCCAAGAAAUAAAGAGUCUCCUCGGUAAGUUCUUCACAUCUCCAUGGAGUCCGCGAACCACACGAGGCAAAGUUGCUACGCGGGUCCAAACGACGAUAUACAAAUCGACGCAUCUGCGCCCGAGAAGUGUCAGAUGACGAAACGAUGAUGAACAGAGAACAGGUGGUGGAGAAGAGGCGGUGGUUGAAGAAAAUGGUGCUCGAUCAGUUGCAGGAGUAGAAGACAAGGCUCUUCGCAACUUCUUGGAGGUACACAGACAAUCAUACACAUAUAGCUUAAGGAUGGAUGCAAGACCUUUUCUCUAAUUGAGCAUAACGACAUGGUGUAGAGGUAGAUGCAGAUGGUUAAUUCUGUCAAGAAGUGUGCACCAAGGUUUGAUGGAUUGAAGGACAUAUCAAAUGUGCAGAGCGGAACCAUUUGUACCAUGUGCUAAUCGAGAUGAGGGAAACCACCAGGGUGUUCUGUAGGUUCCGGUCUCAAAGUCCCUCAAAGCAUCCUUUAAGGUUGAUCCAUCCAAGGAAACUAAGUUUCAUUAUUUUUCCCUAGAGAAAAAGAGGAAGAUCUACAGAUUUGGUCAUGUUUUUGGACUGACUGUUGAAGGUAUUAGAUGUACCUACUCUGCUUGGCAUAACCGAAAAUUCUAUCGAUUUCAUAUUCAUGGUUUUGUAACAUGGAAUGGAGUAAUAAUUUAGCUAAAUUAAUGUUACAUGCAUUUACUUUCAGGUUUCGUUUAGGAGAUUUAAUUAUA
Molecule: long non-coding RNA, 965 nt
Organism: Lolium rigidum
Lineage: Eukaryota; Viridiplantae; Streptophyta; Magnoliopsida; Poales; Poaceae
Exons: 3
Source: RefSeq, a predicted model, not a curated record